This 85-nucleotide transfer RNA is filed under the name Prochlorococcus sp. MIT 0601. RNAcentral's name for it is "tRNA-Ser". It matches the Rfam family "tRNA". Rfam says of the family: Transfer RNA (tRNA) molecules are approximately 80 nucleotides in length. Their secondary structure includes four short double-helical elements and three loops (D, anti-codon, and T loops). Further hydrogen bonds mediate the characteristic L-shaped molecular structure. tRNAs have two regions of fundamental functional importance: the anti-codon, which is responsible for specific mRNA codon recognition, and the 3' end, to which the tRNAs corresponding amino acid is attached (by aminoacyl-tRNA synthetases). tRNAs cope with the degeneracy of the genetic code in two manners: having more than one tRNA (with a specific anti-codon) for a particular amino acid; and 'wobble' base-pairing, i.e. permitting non-standard base-pairing at the 3rd anti-codon position. Lineage: Bacteria; Bacillati; Cyanobacteriota; Cyanophyceae; Synechococcales; Prochlorococcaceae. The record is from RNAcentral.
GGAGAGGUGGCUGAGUGGUCGAAAGCGAGCGACUCGAAAUCGUUUGACAAGCAAUUGUCCGUGGGUUCGAAUCCCACCCUCUCCG